GAUGAACGCUGGCGGCGUGCUUAACACAUGCAAGUCGAACGGACUUAACUUGAAGCCUAGCGAUAGUUAAGUUAGUGGCGGACGGGUGAGUAACGCGUGGGUAACCUGCCUUAUACAGGGGGAUAACACUUAGAAAUAGGUGCUAAUACCGCAUAAGCGCACAGUUUCGCAUGAAACAGUGUGAAAAACUCCGGUGGUAUAAGAUGGACCCGCGUCUGAUUAGCUAGUUGGUGAGGUAACGGCUCACCAAGGCGACGAUCAGUAGCCGGCCUGAGAGGGUGAACGGCCACAUUGGGACUGAGACACGGCCCAA
RNAcentral lists this ribosomal RNA (313 nucleotides) under uncultured bacterium. Its description in RNAcentral is "bacterial SSU rRNA". It matches the Rfam family "Bacterial small subunit ribosomal RNA", at positions 28 to 334 of the family's 1533-position model. The record is from RNAcentral.